ACUGCCUGAUGGAGGGGGAUAACUACUGGAAACGGUAGCUAAUACCGCAUAACGUCGCAAGACCAAAGAGGGGGACCUUCGGGCCUCUUGCCAUCAGAUGUGCCCAGAUGGGAUUAGCUAGUAGGUGGGGUAACGGCUCACCUAGGCGACGAUCCCUAGCUGGUCUGAGAGGAUGACCAGCCACACUGGAACUGAGACACGGUCCAGACUCCUACGGGAGGCAGCAGUGGGGAAUAUUGCACAAUGGGCGCAAGCCUGAUGCAGCCAUGCCGCGUGUAUGAAGAAGGCCUUCGGGUUGUAAAGUACUUUCAGCGGGGAGGAAGGCGAUGNGGUUAAUAACCGCGUCGAUUGACGUUACCCGCAGAAGAAGCACCGGCUAACUCCGUGCCAGCAGCCGCGGUAAUACGGAGGGUGCAAGCGUUAAUCGGAAUUACUGGGCGUAAAGCGCACGCAGGCGGUCUGUCAAGUCGGAUGUGAAAUCCCCGGGCUCAACCUGGGAACUGCAUCCGAAACUGGCAGGCUUGAGUCUCGUAGAGGGGGGUAGAAUUCCAGGUGUAGCGGUGAAAUGCGUAGAGAUCUGGAGGAAUACCGGUGGCGAAGGCGGCCCCCUGGACG
RNAcentral lists this ribosomal RNA (615 nucleotides) under Kosakonia sp. RNAcentral's name for it is "bacterial SSU rRNA". It matches the Rfam family "Bacterial small subunit ribosomal RNA", at positions 125 to 735 of the family's 1533-position model. Lineage: Bacteria; Pseudomonadati; Pseudomonadota; Gammaproteobacteria; Enterobacterales; Enterobacteriaceae. The record is from RNAcentral.